Non-coding RNA from Gadus chalcogrammus (walleye pollock), 1491 nucleotides. The record is from the annotation of a RefSeq genome assembly. NCBI's taxonomy places the organism in Eukaryota, Metazoa, Chordata, Actinopteri, Gadiformes, Gadidae.
UCAGUAAAAUAACCAUCAGCCAUCCCACUAAACAAAAAUACACUCUGCUCCGACAGUCAAUGAGGGGGUCAACGUUAAAUUAAAACCUUUUUCAAUCUAGAAGAAUGUCCCAAGCACUCUGGUCAAAACUAACAGCAAUCUAACAUUCAUCCAAUCAGUUUACAUAAUAUAAUCAUAUUUUUAACACAAAGUGAUCUUUAUUUGACAUGAAUACAUGUAGAGAAGGUGUCACCACAGUGGUUCUACUUGACCUUUGAAACUAAAACUCACAUUCACCUGCCGCUCCUCUUCCUGGGUCCUCAUGGUCUCCACAGAGCCAGUAUAGUAGAAGGUCUUCUCCUGUCUCAUUCAGUCCUUGGUGCCACUCUAGCUGGAGGUGGAGCUUGACAGGCAGCACAUCAGAAACAAUCUGUCAACACAACAGCUUCUAGACUCUUGAUUGUUGCUGCUUGACAACAUCUGCUUGUUCCAGUAUUAGCUAUGCAGAUCUUCAUGUUAGUGGUUUUAUUCACUGGGUUUACUGGUGACAGUUAUCAGCAAUCCAUCCACUCAAUCCAGGACAGUCCAGUCCAGGCUCCACAAGGAGACGGCGUGACUCUCUCCUGCAACUACUCUUCAGCAACAUCCUUCUUCUGGUAUCGGCAGUACCCCAGCUCACCUCCCCAGUUCCUUAUCAAAGAAUACAUGGAGCUAUCUGGAUUUACCUUGAAAAAGGACAGUGAUAAAAAAAUGUUCCAUCUGGAGAUCUCCGCUGCUGCCGUGACAGACUCUGCUCUGUACUACUGUGCUGUGCAGCCCACAGUGACAGGAAACACAGACUCCCUGUACAAAAACCUGACAAGGAACUUGAAGAGCAUUUGUCAUUACCUUAAACUGUGGUUCAGGGGAGGCGCAUCUGGAGAGGUGAAUUCACACCAGGAGUCUAGUGAAUAAACAGUAUUUUACAACAGAGAUACAGAGGUAGCAUGUUGAGCUCCAGGGUUCCCAUGGUGUUUGAAAUUAUGUCAAUCCUCUUUUCAAGUCACAGCCCACCAGAAAUUCUAAAGAUUAAAGGGAACUUGUAUAGCCAUGGCAACAUGUUUACAUAUUAACCUUAUCUUUACUGGUGUUUACAGUGUGGACCUCACUCCUGUCAAGCAGAAAGAGAACAGAUUAGUCGGUACAAGUGUUUCUCUGUCCUACAAGCUCUCUAAAACUGCUACAGGGAGCGAUUAUUUUUUCUGGUACCGUCAGUAUCCUGGAGAACCUCCACAGUUCCUGCUGUGCAUCUCAGGGUUUGGUAACAACAGAACAGCUGAGUCUCUUGGUUCAGACAAAAGGUUUUCCACUGAACUGACUGAAGAGAAGACUGGAGUGGAUCUGAAGAUCUCCUCUGUUGCAGUGACUGACUCUGCUCUGUACUACUGUGCUCUGCAGCCCACAGUGACAGGAAACAUAGGCUCGCUGUACAAAAACCUGCUGAGCACAAAACAAUCUUUCAACUCCCCCUGA